This 2892-nucleotide ribosomal RNA is filed under the name Enterobacter kobei. RNAcentral describes it as "bacterial LSU rRNA". It matches the Rfam family "Bacterial large subunit ribosomal RNA". The record is from RNAcentral. Lineage: Bacteria; Pseudomonadati; Pseudomonadota; Gammaproteobacteria; Enterobacterales; Enterobacteriaceae.
UUAAGCGACUAAGCGUACACGGUGGAUGCCCUGGCAGUCAGAGGCGAUGAAGGACGUGCUAAUCUGCGAAAGCGCCGGCGAGGUGAUAUGAACCUUUGACCCGGCGAUGUCCGAAUGGGGAAACCCAGUGUGAUUCGUCACACUAUCGUUAACUGAAUACAUAGGUUAACGAGGCGAACCGGGGGAACUGAAACAUCUAAGUACCCCGAGGAAAGAAAUCAACCGAGAUUCCCCCAGUAGCGGCGAGCGAACGGGGAGCAGCCCGGAGUCUGAAUCAGCUUGUGUGUUAGUGGAACGGUCUGGAAAGUCCGACGGUACAGGGUGAUAGUCCCGUACACGAAAAUGCACAGGUUGUGAACUCGAAGAGUAGGGCGGGACACGUGGUAUCCUGUCUGAAUAUGGGGGGACCAUCCUCCAAGGCUAAAUACUCCUGACUGACCGAUAGUGAACCAGUACCGUGAGGGAAAGGCGAAAAGAACCCCGGCGAGGGGAGUGAAAAAGAACCUGAAACCGUGUACGUACAAGCAGUGGGAGCCUACUUGUUAGGUGACUGCGUACCUUUUGUAUAAUGGGUCAGCGACUUAUAUUCUGUAGCAAGGUUAACCGAAUAGGGGAGCCGAAGGGAAACCGAGUCUUAACUGGGCGUUAAGUUGCAGGGUAUAGACCCGAAACCCGGUGAUCUAGCCAUGGGCAGGUUGAAGGUUGGGUAACACUAACUGGAGGACCGAACCGACUAAUGUUGAAAAAUUAGCGGAUGACCUGUGGCUGGGGGUGAAAGGCCAAUCAAACCGGGAGAUAGCUGGUUCUCCCCGAAAGCUAUUUAGGUAGCGCCUCGUGAACUCAUCUUCGGGGGUAGAGCACUGUUUCGGCUAGGGGGCCAUCCCGGCUUACCAACCCGAUGCAAACUACGAAUACCGAAGAAUGUUAUCACGGGAGACACACGGCGGGUGCUAACGUCCGUCGUGAAGAGGGAAACAACCCAGACCGCCAGCUAAGGUCCCAAAGUCAUGGUUAAGUGGGAAACGAUGUGGGAAGGCACAGACAGCCAGGAUGUUGGCUUAGAAGCAGCCAUCAUUUAAAGAAAGCGUAAUAGCUCACUGGUCGAGUCGGCCUGCGCGGAAGAUGUAACGGGGCUAAACCAUGCACCGAAGCUGCGGCAGCGACACUAUGUGUUGUUGGGUAGGGGAGCGUUCUGUAAGCCGUUGAAGGUGGCCUGUGAGGGUUGCUGGAGGUAUCAGAAGUGCGAAUGCUGACAUAAGUAACGAUAAAGCGGGUGAAAAGCCCGCUCGCCGGAAGACCAAGGGUUCCUGUCCAACGUUAAUCGGGGCAGGGUGAGUCGACCCCUAAGGCGAGGCCGAAAGGCGUAGUCGAUGGGAAACAGGUUAAUAUUCCUGUACUUGGUGUUACUGCGAAGGGGGGACGGAGAAGGCUAUGUUAGCCGGGCGACGGUUGUCCGGUUUAAGCAUGUAGGCGGAGGUUCCAGGUAAAUCCGGUACCUUUUAACGCUGAGGUGUGAUGACGAGGCACUACGGUGCUGAAGUAACAAAUGCCCUGCUUCCAGGAAAAGCCUCUAAGCAUCAGGUAACACGAAAUCGUACCCCAAACCGACACAGGUGGUCAGGUAGAGAAUACCAAGGCGCUUGAGAGAACUCGGGUGAAGGAACUAGGCAAAAUGGUGCCGUAACUUCGGGAGAAGGCACGCUGAUAUGUAGGUGAAGCCCCUGCGGGUGGAGCUGAAAUCAGUCGAAGAUACCAGCUGGCUGCAACUGUUUAUUAAAACACAGCACUGUGCAAACACGAAAUGAAGUAUACGGUGUGACGCCUGCCCGGUGCCGGAAGGUUAAUUGAUGGGGUUAGCGGUAACGCGAAGCUCUUGAUCGAAGCCCCGGUAAACGGCGGCCGUAACUAUAACGGUCCUAAGGUAGCGAAAUUCCUUGUCGGGUAAGUUCCGACCUGCACGAAUGGCGUAAUGAUGGCCAGGCUGUCUCCACCCGAGACUCAGUGAAAUUGAACUCGCUGUGAAGAUGCAGUGUACCCGCGGCAAGACGGAAAGACCCCGUGAACCUUUACUAUAGCUUGACACUGAACACUGGUCCUUGAUGUGUAGGAUAGGUGGGAGGCUUUGAAGCGUGGACGCCAGUCUGCGUGGAGCCGACCUUGAAAUACCACCCUUUAAUGGCUGGUGUUCUAACGUAGACCCGUAAUCCGGGUUGCGGACAGUGUCUGGUGGGUAGUUUGACUGGGGCGGUCUCCUCCCAAAGAGUAACGGAGGAGCACGAAGGUUAGCUAAUCCUGGUCGGACAUCAGGAGGUUAGUGCAAUGGCAUAAGCUUGACUGCGAGAGUGACGGCUCGAGCAGGUGCGAAAGCAGGUCAUAGUGAUCCGGUGGUUCUGAAUGGAAGGGCCAUCGCUCAACGGAUAAAAGGUACUCCGGGGAUAACAGGCUGAUACCGCCCAAGAGUUCAUAUCGACGGCGGUGUUUGGCACCUCGAUGUCGGCUCAUCACAUCCUGGGGCUGAAGUAGGUCCCAAGGGUAUGGCUGUUCGCCAUUUAAAGUGGUACGCGAGCUGGGUUUAGAACGUCGUGAGACAGUUCGGUCCCUAUCUGCCGUGGGCGCUGGAGAAUUGAGGGGGGCUGCUCCUAGUACGAGAGGACCGGAGUGGACGCAUCACUGGUGUUCGGGUUGUCAUGCCAAUGGCACUGCCCGGUAGCUAAAUGCGGAAGAGAUAAGUGCUGAAAGCAUCUAAGCACGAAACUUGCCCCGAGAUGAGUUCUCCCUGAGACUUUAAGUCUCCUGAAGGAACGUUGAAGACGACGACGUUGAUAGGUCGGGUGUGUAAGCGCAGCGAUGCGUUGAGCUAACCGAUACUAAUGAACCGUGAGGCUUAACCUU